GGGAGUGGCUUGACUUUGCUUCACUUUAUCUUGAGCCUCCACUGGGAGUGGCUCAAAGAUUGGUGCUGGAAUCUAGAGACUGCUUCACUGGCCUGGCUGACAUCUGUGUCCAGAUGUGGGCCUGAACUGUUGACCAAAAUCCAGUUGCUGUAUGAUUCCUCUGUGGCUUGGGCUUCUCAUCUCACAGUGUGGCAUCCGGGUUCUGAGUAUGGACAGCCUGUCCUAGAAGUCACACGGCAUUGUAUCUGCCAGGAUCUGUCCAUUGAAGCAGUCACUAGUCCAUCUGCAUUUAAGCAAAGUGGACGUAGACCCCAUCCCUUAAGGAAAGAUAGUUAACAGGAGCCAGUGUAAGAAAAACCUCUUCCAUGUGGAAUGAAUGCCUGUGUCAGUGAAUAAACAAGAGAGUGAAUGAGCAGGUGAAGGAAGCCCCCCUUCUUCAUGCCUGUAUCCCAGGGUCCAGCAAACUCAGCAUAUGCUGCUGAAUGACGGAGUGAGUGGAGACCCUCUGAGGACAGCAAGGCCUGACAACAUGCACAGCCUGGUGUCAUCCCACCUCCACCCUAGAAGUCACGUGUCCAGGACCAAGGGCAUCUGGGCUGUAUAUUUUGUUGAGUGACUUCAGGAGAACCAGACUCAACCACCAGGCUACUGGCAGCAUCCACCCUGGGGAAGGAUCCAGGGGCUGACACCAUCAGUGAUUUGUUGGCUGCUGCCAGUGAAGGAAAUACUUCUCUCACUGACACCAACCCUGUGCCCGGCUGGGAGAAUGUUCAUCUGUUCUGCGUGGAACCAAGACAAGUGGCAACUUCAGGCUUCUUACAUCAUUUCUAGGGUCACCUCUGGUGAAAUUGCUGGGAUUGAGGACAGAGGCAGAGAUGGGCAGAAAUUAUGAGAAGAAUUUAUCCAAGCCUCCAUGAAGUGAGUAGUGUUAUUUCCACCAUGCCCAUCUGUUGUGAUGUCUCUGUGUCUGGAGAUAACUGAUUAUGGACUGAACCCUGAGAAACCGUGAGCCAAAUGAAGACAGAAUUUGUAGAGAACAUGAUUGAUGGAUUGGCAUGUUGAGCAAUUCUUCAGCACCUAAGUGUGGGCAGGAAAUCAGGCUGUGGUUCACACCAUUUUGAAGCUUGGUGCGGUCCCACCCGCCUUCAGGAAGCAUCUUUGAAUGCAGAAAAUGUCAUUCAUUCAUUCAUUCAUUCAUUCAUCUCUCAAGACCCUCAAGACCCUCGGCUUUUGCACCAAGAAAGCUAAACAUUCCUAACAUUCCUGGUUUGAGCCUUUUGAGUGGCAGCCUUCGAGAUGGGAGAGGUCCCUGUGGAAUGUGGGGUGCUUCCUUCAAGAAUUUACUAUUCUUCUUUAGGAGGAAGGAAAACUGGGAAAGGUAGAGAGGAGAACCUCAAAAGGUGGCAAGAAAAUGGCAAGUUUAAGUGGAGAGAGGACCGACCAGAAUCCAGAUGGCCUUUUCCAGCAGCGGGGCUCAGGUUUCUCCCAGUGAGGACUCCAUGAGGUCCCAGACUGUGUCAGGAAGCUCGCCAGCCCCAUCCCCGCAUUGCCCAGUGGAGCUCCUCCUGCAGAACAAGGAAGAGAGCACGAAAGAAGAAUCCAGGACACUGCUCUGUUCGGCAGUGCGCUUUUCCCUCCGCAUCCCACACAGCCCACUUGACCCAGGCCGUGCAGGCUUCAGGGCCACAAGUUGAUGGGGAAAGUAGAUGCUAGGCUGAGGCGACGGUCUCGGCGGAGGGAACACAGCAACCCUGACGAGGAGCAGCUCGAGGCGGCCACGGAAACUUACGGCCACUUCGCUGAUCGACAGCCCGGUUCUGGAACCCGGGAAGCCCUUUGAAUUUUGGAGCGGAGGUGAGACCGGAAGGGCUCAGGGGUUUCAUGCUAGGGGAGGCGGAAGCCGGGCGUCAGGUUAGGACUAGAAAGCAACCCUACCGUCCAGAACGCGCCUCUGGAAUAAACCCCAACCCGGGAGAGAUCGCACCAACUCAAGAUAAAAAGUCUUCCUGAAAACUGAGCGCCUCUUACCGCAGUUCCUGUUUCCUGCGAGUCCUGCGCGGUCGCGGUUUAGACCCUACUCCAGCUGAAAGAACCAGUUCAUCUGGAUUCAGCUGUGGACCCCAGCUCCCUGGGAGGAGACCGUUCCAGUAGCCCGCGGGGUGGCGGGGAGCGCGGCUCUGCAGCCCAUGGAGAACAGCACCGGCCCCCUGAGCGCGUGAACCUGUCCGGCCUGGGCACCAUGCCCCGGGCUCCGCUGGCUGUGCAGGCGGUGACUCUGACCCUGGUGCCCCUCUUGUGUGCCGUGGGUGUGGCGGGCAACGCCAUGGUGGUGCUGGUGGUGGUCAGGGGCCGCCACAUGGUCACACCCACCAACUGUUACCUGGGUGAGAUUGGAGUACGAUUUUUAAUAAGAUCUUUAAUUUGCAGAGAUGGAAUAAGGUGGGAGGAGGUGUCAGGGAUCUGGAGAUCUUUUUUCCUGGGAACCCAGCAAGCUUUUGCUUGCCAGGAUAAACUAAACAUUACCUCCCCCUGCAGGGUGCUGCAUGCUGCCUCCGUCUAACAGCUGGUUCAGGAUCCAGUGCUGGCAACAGAUGCUGCUCCAGCAGCCACCGUGGAGGUGCAAAGGGAGGCAAGACUUUCUGGGUUCCUGUCCUUGCUCAGGGCAGAGGGGACAGAGCCAGGAACUUGGCUGGAUUGGAGAACACAUCUUUCAAAAGUGGCAUCUUCAACCCUCUUGACUGCAGACGUGACUGCUAGACUAUGAUGAAAGCCAUGGGAACUCAUCAGGCUGGGCAAGGCUUUGGAACAUGAACAAAGGACUCCCAAACAUUAGUGGAUCGACACACAAAGCUUACUGCUCACUCAAAGUCUUUCCAGGGUGUCUCUCUUCCGUUCCGUGACCCACGACCCAGGCCAUUUCAGUCUCAGGGGCCCAGCUUCUCAAUGUGUUUCCAUGAACCAUGCAGUGGAGGAAGGGUCUGAAACAGUCCUCAAAUUGGCAGGCGAAUGCUUCAGCCAGUAAGUGACAGCUGUCACUUCAACUGGUGACCAGUAACAUGGCUGGAAAAGCAGCAGAGCACCCUGCAAUUUCCAAAAGGCAGUAAAGAUUGAUCUGGCCAAGCACUCAAACUCUCUCAUGGGAGAGUGACAGACCAGAGAACAAAGGUAGAAAAUGAGACCUUCUAUCUGUCUGUUUGCGCCUUCCAAACAGCGGGACAGCAGGUCCUGCCUCCUAAAGCCCACCUACCUGAUGUUAGCAUCUGCAGCAAUCCUAGGCAAACCACCAAAGCCGGAAGUCUGUCCUCUCCUUGAAGCUGUGAGGCACCUCAGAAGCCCUUCACAUUUCGAAGGACGCAGGAUCCCCAGGACCAUGGCGCUGUCCAGCUGAACUGAGUGCUGAAUCAUGGCCUGGGAGUGAGGUGGUGAGGGCAGAGGCUCAGAGCAUUUGCUCGGCAGACUGUGUCAGCUCCCGCCUUUCCCUGUCCCUGGGGGUCCCAGACAUGUCAGACCUGAUGCCUGCAGAGAGUCAAACCUAAAAGAGUCAGGACCAACUGAUAGCACAGAGAGCACGAGGUCACACCAGUCACAUGACGCCCAGCUCUGCCAGUGGCUCCCUGUGUGGUGUAGGACAUGUUGGCUGUGUUCUCUUGGCCUCAGUUUCCUCAUCUAGAAAGUGAGAGGUAGCAGAGAUUUUUCUAGCCAUGACUUUCCCUCAGACUUUUCUUUCUGGUGAAGUGGCCACUUCGCCAGGAAACUUAAAAACUCCCAAAGCUUACCAUACCAGUUAACCCUAUGUGGCCUUAUCUUGUUGAAAGGGUCUCCAGACAGAAUUUCCUGGGGAUGUUACUAAGGUGUCAUCUUCACUUCUGCCUACUGCCAGCUCUAUCUUCCCCUGGGCUCUGACUCUGUCGUGUUGUCAUGGUGAUGGGCGGGAGCACCAGCCUUUUCCAAGACCCUCUUUCUGGCACUGAGAGGAACAGUGCAGCCAGAGGUCCUACCUGGGGAGGGGCCUGCUUUCCUUGGACUCUUUACAGUCCAAACAACAUCAGGGAGCCAGGCAUGGUGGCACAUGCCUGUAAUCCCAGCACUUGGGGGGA
This is a long non-coding RNA of Fukomys damarensis (Damara mole-rat), 4097 nucleotides long. RefSeq lists it as uncharacterized. The record is from RefSeq and is a predicted model, not a curated record. NCBI's taxonomy places the organism in Eukaryota, Metazoa, Chordata, Mammalia, Rodentia, Bathyergidae. The transcript has 3 exons.